GCACUGCUGAAGAGUCUCAAUAAAACGAAACGACCUUCCAGUAC
Molecule: non-coding RNA, 44 nt
Filed under: Schistosoma curassoni
Lineage: Eukaryota; Metazoa; Platyhelminthes; Trematoda; Strigeidida; Schistosomatidae
Source: RNAcentral